AACCACCUUUUUGAUGUGGGUUUCCCUUCAAGUUGCAAACUUUAGUUGCACUGUUUACUAACAAAAUAUUUUCUACUUUUCUUGUGAAGCUUUUAUCAGGGUUUUUCCUUGGUGGAUACUUUGGUUAUGUGAUAUUUGGUUUUAUUCGUUUUGGGAGUAGCUUCUCAGUUCCAAUGGUGGAACUUCAAUCCUGCGCCAGCUUGGUCAAUGCUUCUGCACUGUGUGCAAUAGAGCAAGAAAUGAAGGGAGAGAGUGUAAAUGUCAUUGCAGAGAUCGCGGCUGAGUUGCAAAGAGAGAGAGAAAAAAAUGCAGAGCUUAUGAAGAGAAUAUCAUCACUUGAAGCCCAAAUACAAGAGAGGGAGAAGGAAUCUCUUCUAACCAAUGAAAAACUGAAUCCAAGCAAAAGUCUACUGUCACUGCUUAAUGGCCUGGCCUCUUAUGUUCUCUCACAGGUCAGCUGUCUUGAUACCACAGAGAGAAGCCUCAAAAGGUUCAAAAGACAGAAGAUAGAAACAUAUAGUCAUAGAACUGAAGAUGGAAAGAGUACCAAAACUGAAAUGGCCUCUAAGGCAGAGAAUGGCACACAAUGCAUGCCUUCGACAGAUGAAAAUCAGGAUGAUCGCUUAGUUAACUGGAUGAGCAUGGAUGAGACUCUUUUUUCGCAUUUUGAUAAAUUUAAAGACAGUGACCUUGCUGCAGAUCGUGAGGAUACAGAUGACAGUGAUGAUGAAGAUGAAUAUUAUGAAGAGGAUGAUCCUAACACUGGUUAUAAAGAUAGGGAAACUGAGGAAAAUCUAAGAAGUGCUUAUGAAGAACAACCUCAUGAGGAUGGUGUUGGCCCAGGAAUGCAUAUAUCUUGUCUGCAAAGUUAUUCCACCAGUCAGAGUGAGCUGACAUUUACAAACAGUAGCCAGUUGAUAAAAGAAAAUAGAGAAAAGGAUUACACACUACAGGAUAUACAAGUAGUUUUUAACAGAAACAACCCGAAGUAUGUCAUGAAGGAAACAGAAAAGAAUGGAGAACACAAGUCUCCAGCACAUAUGGCAACUUCUGGGCAAGAGCCUUGUCAGACAGUGUCUGGAAAGACAUCUUCAAAUAAGAAACCUCCGAAAGUUCCUUUCUGUCCGAAAGAAAUAAGAAAAAUACUUGCAUCAGAUGCCCUUUUAUUGAAAAAUGCUCAGUCACACACCAUAAGGAAGAUAAUUGUCUUUGCAUCCCUUGGCAUAAGGAAUGGAUGUGAAGAUAUGUAUGAGUUAGACUUCAAUCACUUCAGCAUUUUAAGGAAGGGGGAUCCGUAUGUUUCUCCAAAGAAUCCAGGGGAGCAUGUCUUAUAUGAGAACCCUGGUGUCCAGAGGAAGGUUUUCUAUCCGAACCGACAGAAUCCAACACUAUGUCCUGUUCAAAUACUUGAGGAAGAGAAAACUAUGCGUCCUUCUGAUCCUUGCUGUCCAUCAUGCCUAUUUUUGUGCAUCAAGUAUGGUGGAAGGACAAGAAAUCUUCCUCAAAAUGAAUAUGUCAGGCAGCGAAUGGGAAGAAAUAAACUAAAGUCUUUCGGACCUGUCAUGUGCCGAAUGGCAAUGCUAGUCCAUAUUCGCAGUGGGAGCUUCUUCUUCAAGGCCUUGGGCAUCACACUUCUGUUCAUGGCAGGUUUUCCUGAUGACCUUGUUCAAAGAGAAACAAAAUACAGGAACUUAGACUUGCUGCAAAAGUAUUAUAGGACAGACGAAGAUGCUGAAGAUGAAGAAUUGUUUCUUUCGCAUCCAAUAGCUUUUGACACUCAGGCUCGUUCUAGUUCUCAGCAAUUAACUGGGAAGACUACCUCAACAAAAUCAAAGGGAAGAAGGCAGACAAACUCCAGCAGCAAGUCCCACAAUUUUCCAAAAGCCUCGGUUCAAGAAUCAGCACCUUCGACCUCAACACCUGGUACCCAAUUUGGGCUGAUGGGCUACACCUCAAUCCAAACCCAAGCAACGGCAGCAUUUCAGUCCACACAAUUACAGACUCCAGCUGAAACUACACAAGUCUCAAACCCAAUGAUGAAGAGUCUUGGAAACAAUGUGUCCUACCAUAAUCAAACCGCAUAUCACUUGUUUCCACCACAGCCAGCAAAUACUUUCAUGCCUAUGGUAUAUUGGCCUCCACCAGUUGUCUUUCCUCCCAGUCCUUAUCCAACUUCAUAUGGUUAUCGAUCUUAUCCAACUAAUGCAAACAACAUUUCCAUCCAUCCACAGCCUUACUACAAUCACCCUUCUUCCAGUUCGUUUAUCCCUAAGAUAAUAGAACGCAAUAGGACGGAUGUUUCGGCAUCCUUGGAACCGGAUAGUGACUCAGAUAGCAGUUUAAGCAGUUCGGAAGAACCAAAAGAGGCAUUAGCAAGCUGUAGGUAGUGGACUGAAUAUGCUUAUACAAUGUUUCUUGUAAAUUAUCAUUACAGGAAAAGGAACUUGGUAAAAGAAAGCUGUGACAUAAAUGCAUCUCGGAGUCCUGCAGUCCUGCCAUUGCAACAUUUGUUUGAUGAAUAAGUUACCAAUCUGCCUCAAACAUGCAAGAUCAUUUGCCAUAAUUUGAUGAACAUUCUCUAGUCUGUACAAACUCGAAAAUACAGCAGUGAACUGGAAAUUUGUAAGUAUAAUUCCUGCUUCUGAUAAGCCUUUUGUGAUAGUGUACAGAAUUUCUGGGAAGGCCGGUGGCAAGGCUUAGACCUGAAGGGUAUUUUAGUGGAAUUAAGGCUACUUCAGGAUUUUCAUUUGGCUUGUUCUCGAUAUUUAAAAUUCAAUGAUACGAUGGUCAUCACCAUAACUGUCUGCCCAUGCUUGGAGCAUUUGCCUCCCAACUUUGAUAGUGAGACUCAGGCCCACACCUUCAUUCUUCAUUCAUCUCUGUCUGCACUACAAUUAUAUAUACCAGUGGCCACCUACCAAGAGAUAAAUUUUCAUUGCGUUCAUAUGCUU
Molecule: RNA transcript, 2951 nt
Organism: Theobroma cacao (cacao)
Lineage: Eukaryota; Viridiplantae; Streptophyta; Magnoliopsida; Malvales; Malvaceae
Source: RefSeq, a predicted model, not a curated record